This 255-nucleotide ribosomal RNA is filed under the name uncultured bacterium. Its description in RNAcentral is "partial 16S ribosomal RNA". It matches the Rfam family "Bacterial small subunit ribosomal RNA", at positions 524 to 776 of the family's 1533-position model. The record is from RNAcentral.
UACGGAGGGUGCAAGCGUUGUUCGGAAUUAUUGGGCGUAAAGCGCGCGUAGGCGGCCUCUUAAGUCUCACUGUGAAAGCCCGGGGCUCAACCCCGCGGACUGCAGGGGAUACUGGGGGGCUGGAGACAGGUAGAGGCUAACGGAAUUCCGGGUGUAGCGGUGGAAUGCGUAGAGAUCCGGAAGAACACCAGAGGCGAAGGCGGUUAGCUGGACCUGGUCUGACGCUGAGGCGCGAAAGCGUGGGGAGCGAACAGG